Molecule: long non-coding RNA, 1230 nt
Filed under: Homo sapiens (human)
Lineage: Eukaryota; Metazoa; Chordata; Mammalia; Primates; Hominidae
Description: HSALNT0352173
Source: RNAcentral
AACGAGGGUGUUUUGUUAGAGGCUGUGGUUGCAUUUAAAAAUUAGAAUAGGAACAACGACUUGUAAAAAUUCAACACUUUAUUUUAUUUUUGAGACAGUCUCACUGUGUUGUCCAGGCUGGAGUGCAGUGGCUUGAUCUCAGCUCACUGCAACCUCCCCCUCCAGGGUUCAAGCCAUUCUCUUGCCUCAGCCUCCCGAGUAGCUGGGAUUACAGAUUUGUGCCACCAUACCUGGCUAAUUUUUGUAUUUUUAGUAGACAAGGGGUUUCACCAUGUUGGCCAGGCUGGUCUUGAACUGCCAACCUCAGGUGAUCCUCCCCCCUCAGCCUCCCAAAUUGCUGGGAGUACAGGCGUGAUAUAACAUUUUAACAUUUUAAACUACCACUUACUACAUUCACUGUGUCUGUGAUUUAAUAUAUCUUUUUCAGUGGCCACAAAAUUAUAAAAUGGAUACAGAAUAGUCUCUUCAAAAAAUUAAGGAAGUUCUUUUUUUUUCUUUUUCUUUUCUUUACUUUUUUUUUUUUUUUUUUUUUUUUUUUUUUUUUUUUUGGUUUGAGACGGAGUCUUGCUCUGUCGCCCAGGCUAGAGUGCAGUGGCACAAUCUUGGCUCACUGCAACCUCUGCCUCCCGGGUUUAAGGAAUUCUCUGCUUCAGCCUCCCGAGUAGCUGGGAUUACAGGCGCCCGCCACCACGCCCAGCUAAUUUUUUUUGUAUUUUUAGUAGAGACGAAGUUUCACCAUCUUGGCCAGACUGGUCUUGAAUUCCUGACCUCAGCCCGCCUCGGCCUCCCAAAGUGCUGGGAUUACAGGCGUGAGCCACAGCGCCCGGCCGGAAGUUCUUUCUUCUUGAAGGGAUUAUAAAUAUAAUUCAUACUGGCAUGACACUUUUACUAAUAUAGAUUGACUUUUCGCUUCAAAUAACCCAUUCGUACAUCGAAAUUAAUUUUGGUCAGUAUGUGUGUGUGUGGAUGUAUGUGUAUGUGGAUGUGUGGAUGUAUGUGUGUGUGGAUGUGUGGAUGUAAAUGGCAGUAAAGGGUAAAAGGGAAGGUGGAGAAAAGGGAGAUGGUCUAACAUUUUCCACACAUUUUUAAAUACACAAAAUGUGUAUUUAACACAAUACACAUACAAUAAAAUAUGUAGUAAAACAAUGGUGUGGUGAAAACAAAACAUUGCGAACUAGAAAAAAGACUUAGCCGCUGGUCCUGUCGGAUCCGCCCCGCGGCGGCGCCCUC